CAGCAUCAAUGUCCAAUUUGGUUGUUUGGGCUGGCACUACUUCUCCAUUCUAAAAGUUUUGAGUUUUGAAGAUGAAAAAAUUUAAUGUUUAAGAAAUAAGUAAUGCCUGCAACUAACCUUUAAAAAGAUGCGGCGUAAAUCUUGGGUCUUGACAACAUUUUAGCUUACGGCAGUGAACCUGUUAUUUACGUCUUGCAAUUAGUGAUCUUAAUGGCCCCAUUUGACAUAAGAUUGCGAGUUUUGAUAUGCUUAUCAGGAUUAAUGCUUAUAGUGUUGGUAUUAACCAAUACUGAAUAUAUAAUUUGAUAAUAUGUGCUACCACCAAAACUUGGUGUGAUAUAUGUUUGAUUUCCAGAUGCGUAAUUUUUUUUUCUAGUGUCCUUUUGUUCCUGCUUUUAUGGCAUCAUGCAUUUUGUCAUUGAAAUGUGCAGGAAGUCAGCUCCAAGCUGUUGGAGAAGGUUGUU
Molecule: unclassified non-coding RNA, 464 nt
Filed under: Hevea brasiliensis (rubber tree)
Lineage: Eukaryota; Viridiplantae; Streptophyta; Magnoliopsida; Malpighiales; Euphorbiaceae
Source: RNAcentral